GGAGGAUCAAAUCUUGGACAAACAUUAAAAGACCUAAUAGAAUCUCUGACCUCUCUGAAAAUAUAUAGAGAGAACGGCGCAUAUGGAAUUUGGGGGCUUAUCUCCAUUUUUACCCUAACCAAGAAUAGACCUUGAGAUCCUUCAUUUUCUUAACCGAGAGACCCCUCCGAUUCCAACAAAACAGAGCGCCGUCCCUUCGUCUUCUCCGUCUUCUUCACUCUCUCUAAUGGCUGUCACCGCCGGCUCAGGUCACUGACCAUCGACGACCACACUGCCUCUCUUGCUCACCUCACUCAUCUACUCUUUCAUCUUGACACACACGGGAAACCUCACGAAAUAGAUGAGGAAUUUCUGAGUCCAAAUGGUCGGAUCUCACAUCUGGAAAAGAAAGUUGUUUGGUUUGUUUGUCACGGAAAUUAGGAUUUUUGGGUGUCUGAGUGCGAUUUUGAUUUUCUGAAAUGGAAGACUUAUGAUGAAUAAGUUUGACGAUUUACCCAGUCAAGAAGAUCUGAAAACAAAAAUACAAAAACAAUAACAGAAGAACUUCAAGAAUUUUGAAAACAAAACAAAAAAAAGGGAAAGGGGAAUUUCGAAAUUGUUUCAAUCCUCAUCCAUCUGGUACACAUAUUCUGGGUCUUACAAGGGCUGCUUGGAAUUAGAAGUUGCUGGCUAUUACUGUUUGUUGCUAUAUUGUUCAACUAGUAGCUGAGCUCAACCUAUGGCUGUGCUUUUUCAGCCUUUGUUUGUCUAUUUAGAACCCUAUUACUGCUUUUAAGGUACUGUUCCCCCUUCUUGAUCAUGUAGUUCUCUUUUUGAUCAAUGAAAACAUGCCUACUAUGCCAUGUCAGUGUAUAAUUAUGCCAUAUACCUGCUAUAAUUGUUAAAUUCUGGCUAUUUGUGAUUCAAAUGACAAAUCUGGUCCAUAAAGAAUCUGACCUUUUUUUUUAAAAUCUAUUUUAUGUAAUUUCUGAUAUUAAGACUUGAUUAAGUUAGAGUAUGACAUAAAAAUCAGUUGGCUCUUAUGGUUCUGGAAAUGAAUUAUGGGAAAAAAAUCAGUUCAGUUGUGUAGAUGUUUAUCUUGUUGAAAUAUUGUAAUGUUGUCCUAGUGUGUUUAAAACCAUCGAUUGGAUAUGCUGUUCUCUCCUUUCUUCCUUGUUUGAGAAUAGAACUGGAUUCUCACCUAUAUUCUUUAUGUGAUAUGUUCUAGAUGAUAGAUAUUGGUUGAGAAGCAUGUGUGAGCCGAGAAAUGGAGUCUUGUAUAAUUAUAAUUCCACAAUAGGAGGAGAUGACAUGUAAUAGCUUAGUUUUUCGGAUAGAAAAGUAUAAAUUUAACUGUCAUUUGGAUUUGGCUGUGAUUUAGAAAAAUAAUUUAUUGACU
Molecule: long non-coding RNA, 1378 nt
Filed under: Nicotiana tabacum (common tobacco)
Lineage: Eukaryota; Viridiplantae; Streptophyta; Magnoliopsida; Solanales; Solanaceae
Description: long non-coding RNA (NTAB_LNC017282)
Source: RNAcentral